AGAACGAACGCUGGCGGCAUGCCUAAUACAUGCAAGUCGAACGAACUCUUCGGAGUUAGUGGCGCACGGGUGCGUAACGCGUGGGAAUCUGCCCCUUGGUUCGGAAUAACAGUUGGAAACGACUGCUAAUACCGGAUGAUGACGAAAGUCCAAAGAUUUAUCGCCAAGGGAUGAGCCCGCGUAGGAUUAGCUAGUUGGUGAGGUAAAGGCUCACCAAGGCAACGAUCCUUAGCUGGUCUGAGAGGAUGAUCAGCCACACUGGGACUGAGACACGGCCCAGACUCCGUACGGGAGGCAGCAGUAGGGAAUAGUUGGACAAGUGGGCGAAAAGCCUAGA
Molecule: ribosomal RNA, 337 nt
Filed under: uncultured soil bacterium
Lineage: Bacteria
Description: bacterial SSU rRNA
Rfam family: Bacterial small subunit ribosomal RNA
Source: RNAcentral